UUGCUUGAUCACGCUGGAAACAGCGGUUAUAUGUUGCCAGAGCAUGCAGUGCACGGCCUUUUCUCCACAAAAUCUGACAUUUUCGGCUUUGGAGUAAUUAUGCUGGAGAUUAUAAGUGGGAAGAAGAACACAACUUUUGUACCGAUCAGAUCAAUCACUUAACCUGCUAGGAUAUGCUUGGGAGACGUGGCAAGAGGGUCAUUGCCUGGACUUAAUGGAUCAAACAUUGGUCGACUCGUGUUUGGAGGAUGAGCUGUCUUAUCCAUUCAGGUGGCUCUUCUUUGCCUUCAGGAAAACCCAAAGGACAGGCCCACCAUGUCCGAUGUUAUUUCAAUGCUGAACAAAGAAAGAACAAAUCUGCCAAUACCAAAACAGCCUGCGUUUUCAACUUUAUGUAUCCUAAAUGUUGAUACUCCCCAAGCGAUGCACUGAUCGCCUACUUCAAAUGAUGUGACUUUAUCUGUGAUUGAAGCUCGAUAACAUCCCAUCUAGCAGCCUGCAUUGAAAGGAGUCAAAAAAGAAUUGGAAGUGUAGCGAGAAACUGGAAAGGAAAGCAGGUUGCAGCAUGGGCCUUGGUGGACAAGAAGCAUGGAAAGUCAAGAGAUAGAUGAUGCUGAAGCAAUCAAAUUAUCUCUUAUCAAACCAACGGAAGAAGGCUGGACAAGAGCACAGGUACAAGCAGAGAGUAACCACCUCGUUGACAAAGAUAAAUUCCUACAGCUGCAAUUCUUUGAAAAUGGCCACAAUCCUAGAAGACAUUGUAGUCCCUAGCUCCUCGUUUGAUUUGUGCUCCUUCGCAUAUACAAAGGAAAAAUGAUAUAGAGUAGAAAUAUAGCAAAUUAUGGUGUAAACUUGCCAAAGCGGAGUGCAAGGUUCAUUUUUCCCUCUGUCUAGCGCAGGAACAGUGCAGGCAUUUUGCCCGAUAUACUGUAAAUCUUUUGUAAUAGUUAUUUAUCACCCAAAAAAAAA
Long non-coding RNA from Coffea arabica (coffee), 969 nucleotides. RefSeq lists it as uncharacterized. NCBI's taxonomy places the organism in Eukaryota, Viridiplantae, Streptophyta, Magnoliopsida, Gentianales, Rubiaceae. The record is from RefSeq and is a predicted model, not a curated record.